AGUGAACGCUGGCGGUAGGCCUAACACAUGCAAGUCGAACGGCAGCACAGUAAGAGCUUGCUCUUACGGGUGGCGAGUGGCGGACGGGUGAGGAAUACAUCGAAAUCUACUUUUUCGUGGGGGAUAACGUAGGGAAACUUACGCUAAUACCGCAUACGACCUACGGGUGAAAGCAGGGGAUCUUCGGACCUUGCGCGAUUGAAUGAGCCGAUGUCGGAUUAGCUAGUUGGCGGGGUAAAGGCCCACCAAGGCGACGAUCCGUAGCUGGUCUGAGAGGAUGAUCAGCCACACUGGAACUGAGACACGGUCCAGACUCCUACGGGAGGCAGCAGUGGGGAAUAUUGGACAAUGGGCGCAAGCCUGAUCCAGCCAUACCGCGUGGGUGAAGAAGGCCUUCGGGUUGUAAAGCCCUUUUGUUGGGAAAGAAAGGCAGCAGGUUAAUACCCCGCUGUUCUGACGGUACCCAAAGAAUAGGCACCGGCUAACUUCGUG
RNAcentral lists this ribosomal RNA (492 nucleotides) under uncultured bacterium. Its description in RNAcentral is "partial 16S ribosomal RNA". It matches the Rfam family "Bacterial small subunit ribosomal RNA", at positions 29 to 507 of the family's 1533-position model. The record is from RNAcentral.